This 483-nucleotide ribosomal RNA is filed under the name uncultured bacterium. RNAcentral describes it as "partial 16S ribosomal RNA". It matches the Rfam family "Bacterial small subunit ribosomal RNA", at positions 28 to 507 of the family's 1533-position model. The record is from RNAcentral.
GACGAACGCUGGCGGCGUGCUUAACACAUGCAAGUCGAACGCUGAAGCUCAGCUUUUGUUGGGUGGAUGAGUGGCGAACGGGUGAGUAACACGUGAGUAACCUGCCCCCUUCUUUGGGAUAACGCCCGGAAACGGGUGCUAAUACUGGAUAUUCACUGGUCCUCGCAUGGGGGUUGGUGGAAAGGGUUUUUCUGGUGGGGGAUGGGCUCGCGGCCUAUCAGCUUGUUGGUGGGGUGAUGGCCUACCAAGGCUUUGACGGGUAGCCGGCCUGAGAGGGUGACCGGUCACAUUGGGACUGAGAUACGGCCCAGACUCCUACGGGAGGCAGCAGUGGGGAAUAUGGCACAAUGGGCGCAAGCCUGAUGCAGCGACGCCGCGUGAGGGAUGGAGGCCUUCGGGUCGUGAACCUCUUUCGCUCAUGGUCAAGCCGCAACAAUGGUUGUGGUGAGGGUAGUGGGUAAAGAAGCGCCGGCUAACUACGUG